AUGGCUGUCGUCAGCUCGUGUCGUGAGAUGUUGGGUUAAGUCCCGCAACGAGCGCAACCCUCGUUCUAUGUUGCCAGCGGGUUAUGCCGGGGACUCAUAGGAGACUGCCGGGGUCAACUCGGAGGAAGGUGGGGAUGACGUCAAAUCAUCAUGCCCCUUAUGUCUUGGGCUUCACGCAUGCUACAAUGGCCAGUACAAAGGGCUGCGAUACCGCAAGGUGGAGCGAAUCCCAAAAAACUGGUCUCAGUUCGGAUUGGGGUCUGCAACUCGACCCCAUGAAGUCGGAGUCGCUAGUAAUCGCAGAUCAGCAACGCUGCGGUGAAUACGUUCCCGGGCCUUGUACACACCGCCCGUCACGCCAUGGAAGCUGUGAGCGCCCGAAGUCGGUGCCGGAACCCGCAAGGGGCCAAGCCGCCUAAGGCGAGCGCAGUGACUGGGGCGAAGUCGUAACAAGGUAGCCGUAGGGGAACCUGCGGCUGGAUCACCUCCUUAACGGAGCAGCGAGUAGGCAGCCUCCCGAGCGCGCAAGCGCGAGGGAUCUGUACGAAAGCGCUUCCGGAAGUCGCUCGUCUCCACACCCGAUCUCACGUUCAGUUCUUCGAGGCCCUUCGCGCGCCGUCGGCGCGCCCAGGGCUUUCAUAGCUGUCUGGCGGGAGCUCCGCAAGGAAACCGGAGCGCUCGCGCAGGGCCACGCUAUUUGACAACGGAAAUGGGUAGUGUUCGUGGGAAAACGAAUCAACACUAGUGACACAAUUUCUGAGCAUCGAAGUUUGUAUCACUCGAAGUAGAUCGCGCGUGCUUUGCGUGACCGAUGUUGUGGUCAAGCAAGCGAAAGCAAGUGGAGGAUGCCUGGGCACACGAAGGCGAUGAAGGCCGUGGUAAGCUGCGAUAAGCUUGGGGGAGCGGCACACACGCGUUGAUCCCAAGAUGGCCGAAUGGGGAAACCCGG
This 949-nucleotide small RNA is filed under the name uncultured Actinomycetales bacterium. RNAcentral describes it as "bacterial SSU rRNA". The stretch from base 1 to 492 matches the Rfam family "Bacterial small subunit ribosomal RNA", at positions 1045 to 1533 of the family's 1533-position model. Lineage: Bacteria; Bacillati; Actinomycetota; Actinomycetes; Actinomycetales. The record is from RNAcentral.